This 209-nucleotide ribosomal RNA is filed under the name uncultured bacterium. RNAcentral describes it as "partial 16S ribosomal RNA". It matches the Rfam family "Bacterial small subunit ribosomal RNA", at positions 568 to 774 of the family's 1533-position model. The record is from RNAcentral.
UGCGUAGGUGGCAUAGAAAGUUUGAUGUGAAAGCUCAGGGCUUAACCCUGAAAUGGCAUUGAAUACUGCUGUGCUGGAGGUUUGGAGGGGGGGACGUGGAAUUCUUGGUGUAGCAGUGAAAUGCGUAGAUAUCAAGAGGAACACCAGUGGCGAAGGCGAGUCCCUGGACAACACCUGACACUGAGGCACGAAAGCUAGGGGAGCAAACA